AGGACGAACGCUGGCGGCGUGCCUAAUACAUGCAAGUCGAACGGUCUUUCUAUGGAAGCUUGCUUCCACUGGGAAGAUAGUGGCGAACGGGUGAGUAACACGUGGGUAACCUGCCCAUAAGAGGGGGAUAACAUCCGGAAACGGGUGCUAAUACCGCAUAGUUUUCUUGAUCGCAUGAUUGAGAAAGGAAAGACGGCCUUUGUGCUGUCGCUUAUGGAUGGACCCGCGGCGUAUUAGUUAGUUGGUGAGGUAACGGCUCACCAAGACGAUGAUACGUAGCCGACCUGAGAGGGUGAUCGGCCACAUUGGGACUGAGACACGGCCCAAACUCCUACGGGAGGCAGCAGUAGGGAAUCUUCCGCAAUGGACGAAAGUCUGACGGAGCAACGCCGCGUGAGUGAAGAAAGGUUUUCGGAUCGUAAAACUCUGUUGUCAGAGAAGAACAAGUUGGAGAGUAACUGCUCCAGCCUUGACGGUAUCUGACCAGAAAGCCACGGCUAACUACGUGCCAGCCGCCGC
Molecule: ribosomal RNA, 519 nt
Filed under: uncultured bacterium
Lineage: Bacteria
Description: bacterial SSU rRNA
Rfam family: Bacterial small subunit ribosomal RNA
Source: RNAcentral